AGAGUUUGAUCAUGGCUCAGAUUGAACGCUGGCGGCAGGCCUAACACAUGCAAGUCGAGCGGUAGCACAGAGAGCUUGCUCUCGGGUGACGAGCGGCGGACGGGUGAGUAAUGUCUGGGAAACUGCCUGAUGGAGGGGGAUAACUACUGGAAACGGUAGCUAAUACCGCAUAAUGUCGCAAGACCAAAGUGGGGGACCUUCGGGCCUCAUGCCAUCAGAUGUGCCCAGAUGGGAUUAGCUAGUAGGUGGGGUAACGGCUCACCUAGGCGACGAUCCCUAGCUGGUCUGAGAGGAUGACCAGCCACACUGGAACUGAGACACGGUCCAGACUCCUACGGGAGGCAGCAGUGGGGAAUAUUGCACAAUGGGCGCAAGCCUGAUGCAGCCAUGCCGCGUGUGUGAAGAAGGCCUUCGGGUUGUAAAGCACUUUCAGCGGGGAGGAAGGCGNCGAUUGACGUUACCCGCAGAAGAAGCACCGGCUAACUCCGUGCCAGCAGCCGCGGUAAUACGGAGGGUGCAAGCGUUAAUCGGAAUUACUGGGCGUAAAGCGCACGCAGGCGGUCUGUCAAGUCGGAUGUGAAAUCCCCGGGCUCAACCUGGGAACUGCAUUCGAAACUGGCAGGCUAGAGUCUUGUAGAGGGGGGUAGAAUUCCAGGUGUAGCGGUGAAAUGCGUAGAGAUCUGGAGGAAUACCGGUGGCGAAGGCGGCCCCCUGGACAAAGACUGACGCUCAGGUGCGAAAGCGUGGGGAGCAAACAGGAUUAGAUACCCUGGUAGUCCACGCCGUAAACGAUGUCGAUUUGGAGGUUGUGCCCUUGAGGCGUGGCUUCCGGAGCUAACGCGUUAAAUCGACCGCCUGGGGAGUACGGCCGCAAGGUUAAAACUCAAAUGAAUUGACGGGGGCCCGCACAAGCGGUGGAGCAUGUGGUUUAAUUCGAUGCAACGCGAAGAACCUUACCUGGUCUUGACAUCCACAGAACUUNNNUUGGUGCCUUCGGGAACUGUGAGACAGGUGCUGCAUGGCUGUCGUCAGCUCGUGUUGUGAAAUGUUGGGUUAAGUCCCGCAACGAGCGCAACCCUUAUCCUUUGUUGCCAGCGGUUAGGCCGGGAACUCAAAGGAGACUGCCAGUGAUAAACUGGAGGAAGGUGGGGAUGACGUCAAGUCAUCAUGGCCCUUACGACCAGGGCUACACACGUGCUACAAUGGCAUAUACAAAGAGAAGCGACCUCGCGAGAGCAAGCGGACCUCAUAAAGUAUGUCGUAGUCCGGAUUGGAGUCUGCAACUCGACUCCAUGAAGUCGGAAUCGCUAGUAAUCGUAGAUCAGAAUGCUACGGUGAAUACGUUCCCGGGCCUUGUACACACCGCCCGUCACACCAUGGGAGUGGGUUGCAAAAGAAGUAGGUAGCUUAACCUUCGGGAGGGCGCUUACCACUUUGUGAUUCAUGACUGGGGUGAAGUCGUAACAAGGUAACCGUAGGGGAACCUGCGGUUGGAUCACCU
Molecule: ribosomal RNA, 1501 nt
Filed under: Klebsiella pneumoniae
Lineage: Bacteria; Pseudomonadati; Pseudomonadota; Gammaproteobacteria; Enterobacterales; Enterobacteriaceae
Description: bacterial SSU rRNA
Rfam family: Bacterial small subunit ribosomal RNA
Source: RNAcentral